RNAcentral lists this ribosomal RNA (332 nucleotides) under uncultured bacterium. RNAcentral describes it as "bacterial SSU rRNA". It matches the Rfam family "Bacterial small subunit ribosomal RNA", at positions 568 to 898 of the family's 1533-position model. The record is from RNAcentral.
CGCGUAGGCGGUUCGCUAAGUUGAAUGUGAAAACUCUGGGCUUAACCCAGAGCCUGCAUUCAAUACUGGCGGGCUAGAGUUCUGGAGGGGAUAGCGGAAUUCCUGGUGUAGCGGUGAAAUGCGUAGAUAUCAGGAGGAACACCGGUGGCGAAGGCGGCUAUCUGGACAGAGUCUGACGCUGAGGCGCGAAAGCUAGGGGAGCAAACAGGAUUAGAUACCCUGGUAGUCCUAGCCCUAAACGAUGGAUACUUGCUGUAACUGGGAUUGAAUCCAGUCGUGGCGAAGCUAACGCAUUAAGUAUCCCGCCUGGGGAGUACGGUCGCAAGGCUGAA